This 1556-nucleotide unclassified non-coding RNA is filed under the name Athalia rosae (coleseed sawfly). RNAcentral describes it as "misc RNA ENSAEAG00005008678.1". The record is from RNAcentral. Lineage: Eukaryota; Metazoa; Arthropoda; Insecta; Hymenoptera; Athaliidae.
CUGGUUAAUCUACUAUAGGAUGUGAAAAAAAUGGUCUGGCGUCUUCUCACAUGGACAUGUCUGCUCCGAACAACGGAAUCAUUGCAAAGUGUUCGAUUGGGCCAUUCAUAAUCAGGGACACAAUUUUGAAACCUGUUUUCUGCAAUCGUAUGAGCGUUUCUAUUACCAGGUCAAACUUUUUAUCAAAAAAUACGCAAUUAGUAAUUUCCAAUUAGAAUCGAGAUUAACUACCAUCAUAACAAGACCCUGAGUUGCUUCUGCAACGUCACUACCACCGUCACUACCUAUCCCGAUGUCCUAUGUGUCCACGCAUUUUUCCAUCUCCACCCCUCUGGCAUCCUUUUUUGAUACUCAUUCUAUUAAACAUCAACCAGCACAAUAUUUCUUUGUUAUGUUUUUUUGCUUCUGCCACUUUCAUUUCCAGAGUAGUGAAGCAUUCAGUGACAAACCCAGGCUCUGCAUCAAUACUAUGCUCCAAGUACACUAGGAUGUGGGCGUGUAAGUCGAAAAGUUUUUCUGACAUAAGCAUAAGCAGUAGAAGCCCUCAUUGGAAAUAAGUUGUAAAUUCUUCAAACUUUAAUUAACAGACCACAGAGAUGUCCGGUUGUCUUCAGCCGCUUCACUUUUUGCUUCAAAAAUUUAUUGCUAGCUCUGACUGAACGCAAGAAUUUUUGCGUAUGUUGAAGUCUUAUUUCCAAACUACGAGGAGAGAGAUAAUAUGUAUCCAUGAUCGUGCAAUGUUGCGUGUUGUCGGUAAUGAGUUUUGGGAGUACAGAUAGGUGAAAUAUUCUGAAUGUGAGUUGAUGGCAACACUGCUAAAAUUAACAAAUGAUAUAAUUAGUAAUAAAUUAAAAGAUCAAAAAUAUAUUGAAAAAUAAAAUUAUCACCCAGUUGCAAACUAAAAAUUAUUACAGCUCAAAAUCUUUAAGCUGUAUCCUCAAAAGGAUGGAGGAUAUCUGCCAAGACUAAAAUUUUUCGAACUAUUAUUUCAGCCGUGAUAAGAAAAUUAACAAACCAUCUCUAGCUGUAACUUCAGUAUUACUAUAACAUCUAAAAAUCUGGAGGAAUUCUGAGGGGCAGCUACUAUUACGAAGAUGAAGGUCUGCAGAGUUUCAACUUUUUUGAAUAAUUAUUUUGGCCGUAAUAAAAAAUGAAAAAUUGAAAAAUUAAGCAGCAAGGGUUAAAUUAAGAUAGAGACCCAAAACUUGGGUAAGAUUUUUUGUAAAUUCUUUUGAACCAUUUGAGCCAGGGAAAGCAUACAAAUUCAAAAAUAUCCCAUAUAAGAACCACCCUAUUGUUUAUUUACUAUACCUGGACUCGAGGAUCCAACAUCAUUUAAGUGGCAAGACGGAGGAAAAUUAUUCCCAAGUCCCAUUGCAGGAGUGAUGAUUUCUACACAGAAAGAGUUUCAGUUUACAUGCUGCAGAGUUUUUACUGAAGGCCAGUGAUUCUGAAAGUUACCAGUAUCAGUAUUCGUGUCACUCAUUGGUUUAUCUACAAUCGCAUCGAUAGGAAGCUGGUUGUCUGAACACCUAAACAUAAAUUCAUUUCUGUAU